This 74-nucleotide transfer RNA is filed under the name Acidimicrobiaceae bacterium. Its description in RNAcentral is "tRNA-Thr(ggt)". It matches the Rfam family "tRNA". Rfam says of the family: Transfer RNA (tRNA) molecules are approximately 80 nucleotides in length. Their secondary structure includes four short double-helical elements and three loops (D, anti-codon, and T loops). Lineage: Bacteria; Bacillati; Actinomycetota; Acidimicrobiia; Acidimicrobiales; Acidimicrobiaceae. The record is from RNAcentral.
GCCCCCUUAGCUCAGUCGGCAGAGCGUCUCCAUGGUAAGGAGAAGGUCGACAGUUCAAUUCUGUCAGGGGGCUC